UACAGAGGGGGCAAGCGUUAUUCGGAAUUAUUGGGCGUAAAGGGCGCGUAGGCGGCCUGGCAAGUGGAAGGUGAAAUCCCUCGGCUUAACCGAGGGAACUGCCCUCCAAACUGCUUGGCUUGAGUCCGGGAGAGGUGAGUGGAAUUCCCAGUGUAGCGGUGAAAUGCGUAGAUAUUGGGAGGAACACCAGUGGCGAAGGCGGCUCACUGGACCGGAACUGACGCUGAUGCGCGAAAGCGUGGGGAGCAAACGGG
This 254-nucleotide ribosomal RNA is filed under the name uncultured bacterium. RNAcentral's name for it is "partial 16S ribosomal RNA". It matches the Rfam family "Bacterial small subunit ribosomal RNA", at positions 524 to 776 of the family's 1533-position model. The record is from RNAcentral.